This is a long non-coding RNA of Herpailurus yagouaroundi (jaguarundi), 5360 nucleotides long. RefSeq lists it as uncharacterized. NCBI's taxonomy places the organism in Eukaryota, Metazoa, Chordata, Mammalia, Carnivora, Felidae. The transcript is spliced from 2 exons. The record is from RefSeq and is a predicted model, not a curated record.
CCGAAGUCGGACGCUCAACCGACUGAGCCACCCAGGCGCCCCUGAGUGAUUUUCUUUUUUAGCAAAAACUAAUUUUUGAAGUCAAUUGAUCAAUGAAAAUAAUGAUCAUUAGUCCAAGUAUUGUUUUCAUUAGUUCUCUUUUACAUGAGUCCCAGUGAUUCCUUCUUUAAAAGUGUUCUAAGCCAACUUAAAUGGAUUCAUAAUCAUUAUAUUCUAAAUCACUAACUCAUUAAAUUCUAUAAUUUUGAAUCUGCUCAAGCUCCCUUAUUUUUCAAGAAGAGAGAUUGGGCCUCAAAGAAGUUAAGUUGCAUAUCCAAAGUCAUGUCCCAUAGUAAUGACCUAGUCAGGACCAGAAUCCAGGUCUCUUGAACUCUUGUUUUACCUAUAGCGUGUCUUCACUCGUAUGCUUUCUGGCCUCUUUUUCUUGUGCUAUUUUCCGAAUUCUUUUAUAUUUACAUUGAAAAAUAAAUUCUCAGAGGCCCAUUUGGAGUUUGCCAUGUGAAUACGAAGGUAUGCACCAACUUAAUGAAGUAGAAUUUUAAGUUACAAAGUUAUUCUAAUUCAUGAUAAAACUCAAAUUAGUACUGAUAGUUCUACAUUAUAUUCCCCAAUAUUGAAUCUCAAAUGUGUGGCUGUUACUUCUGUAGAAGUUCAUCUUUAUAGUUAAUCCCUCAUGUGGCUUUUAGAAGACGAGAAGCUCAUCUUGAAAGAGAAGAUGAAAGACGAGUCAAGUGUGCAGGAUGACUAAAAUCUGAAGAGUAUGGCAUAGUGUGUAUUGGGUUUUCAUUUUGUUUCCGAAUGUAUUUUCUGUCAAACUUCAUAAUAAAAUCUCAGCAAAGUCUGUUUGUCUUUUCUCUGUCAGUAUUUCCUGUGUAUGCAUUUCUUUCUCCAUAGAACUGUCUUUUCCUUACAUUGGAAGAAUGUAAAAUGAUCUUCUAGAAGUAACUUCCUGUUUGGUUCAUAACAUAAAAUCAGUCCAAGCUAAAGUUAAAUUAGUGAAAUAAUUUCAAACGUCAUCUUUUUGAUGAAUAGGCCCGUAUUUAAUUUGCGCUCUUUUUCUCUUUAUUUCAUUUGUGAGAAAAUUCUGCUGCUUUCUGUAGAAGUAAAAUUCCAGUGACAGUUUGUUUAUUCAUUUAUUUACUCAUUCAUCACCAUGUUCAUUGACCAAACAUUAAGUGCUAUACACAGAGACAGUAUUUUGCAAGAUAGAUUUUAUUUCCAGACUCAUGGAAUUUAGAUUUCAACAUGGGAGAUAGACAUUGAUAUUAUUAGGUCUGUUGGCUAUUAAAAUAAUGUGUGAUAAGUGGUGAGAAUCUCUACUUCUUGGUCCUCCUUUUUCCCUUGGCUUCUUUGCCAUAUCCUAUAAGUUGAGUUUUAGUUUCUUUAUUGUUACGGGGUUUUUUUAUUUAAUUUGCAUACAUUUCAACAUUUUGCUUGAAAAGAGUGGUUUCCACUCAUAGGAGAGCAGAGACUCAGGUUUAUAGCCUGCCAAGACACAGCUCUGAUACCAGUUUUCUUCAGAUUGAAGAAACUUUAUUGUCAUUCCUAUCAUUUCUUCUGUGGACAAAAGUAUAGAAAAAGAGAUCUGGUUUAUACUCUCCAGUGACAAAAGAUUUCAAAGCAAGGAAGAUAUUGGGUAUAAAGAGCAAAAGUUGAAGAAUGCACAGUUGAACAUGAGAGGAGCAGACAACUUGUCUUCCAAGAACUCAUUCAAAUUAUGUCUUCAGUUUGAAAGCUGCGAUGGAAGUUCAGUAACUUCAAAGCAUGCGUGGAAGUUUCUGUAUACACGCAGUGAAAUCAGCUGACAAGGUAACUGGGUUGGCAAGUGCUUCUGAGACCCCUGAGAAGUAAAAAUGUGAUCAUCAAAAAAUCCUAGAUAGUCUGUGACUGCUUCAUCCACAGAAUGAUCCCAGGGUACAGAGUGUCGGCCGGGUGGCCUGACUAGAGGUUCUUCGGAUUGGAUCUGCUGCUUGUGGACCUGCCAUCAAGGAGGUUGACUAAACAGACCUGAAAACAAGUAUAUUUCCCGGAAGUCACAAAAAUUCAAAGAUAAAAACAUUUGGCCUAAAUUUCAACAUUAGACCUUAGGUUUGGGACUUCGCCUUCCACAACUGUAAAGCUAGUCAGACUGGAUGAUGAGCUCUUCUUUCUAGGCGUUGAGCAAUAGGCAGCGUAGGGCUGCCACCCUUGAAAGAAGGGGAAGUAUGAAGCAAGCCCCACAACCUCUCCAGGUUUCUGCCGUGGAACACUUGCCUGUUGCAGUGCAGGGUGGGUAGAAUUCAGGCUAAGGUGCAGUCCCAUCCAGCUAGGGAGGCAGAGGUUAGAGUUCUGGGCUGCUAACAUGGCUGCAGUGUGUGAGUUAGUGUGCUAGAGAGGAAGGAACCGCACAGAGGGAGACUCCUAGAGGUCUGUGUGCGGGUUCACCUCCAGUUCAGCUCCAGGCUAACACUGUACCUGAGCUAGACCGUACGUCACAAGGCCUAGCACCAGCCACCUGCUCUAAGGCUGAGAGCUGACAGGGAUACCGGCAGUCACCCAGUUCUGGGAGUUGUUGACAUUAGACCCUGCUGAGCACCUUGGUGAUUCUCUUGAUAUCCCGACAAGGCCCUCCAUAAGAGUAAGGAUCACUUCUUAGCAUAAAAGCCAUAUCCUAGAACUAAGUUCAAACUGAAAUAGACCUGCUCUAACAAAGAAUAAAGUGAAGCCUGAUCAAACCAAAGGAUUCUCCAGUAGUUUAAUGGCAAGGUGUAGAGCAAAGCUCACCACCUGUGAAGAUGGAUGACACAAUACAGACUCCCUUCAACAUAUUAUCCACUCUGUCCAGCAUUCAAUCAAUGAGAAGUUCCUGGGCAUGUGAAAUAAAGAUUCAAAGUCAAAAGUAGGAAAUUGUGACCCAUAAUAAAGAAGUUGGGGCAUCUGGGUGGCUCUGUUAGUUGCACACCUGACUCUUGAUUUUGGCUCAGGUGAUGAUCUCAUGUUUCAUGCAUUCAAGCCCUACAAGACCUCCGCUCUGACAGCAUGGAGCCUUUGGAUUCUCUCUUGCCCUCUCUGUCUCUGUCCCUCCCCUGCUCUCUCAAAAAUGGAAAGAAAGAAAGAAAGAAAGAAAGAGAGAGAGAGAGAGAGAGAAAGAAAGGAAGGAAGAAAGAAAGCAAAGAAGAAAUUAGAAACAGACUUCAAGAUGAACUAGAUGCACAAAUUAGCAGCUAUGGAUUUUUAAAGCAGCUGCUAAAGUAUGUUUUAAUAUUGAGAAGAAAAAAAAUGUCCAUAAAGAGUGAACAGAGAGAAUAUCAGCAGAGAAAAUAACAACUUUAUAAUGAAUAAAAUGAAGUCUAGUACUGUAAAGUUCGAUAUCUGAUGCAUAAAAUUACCUGGAUGAGUUCAGUAUCACUGGAUAGAGACUGUAGAAGAAAGGCUAUGGAACCUGAUGACAAAUACAAACACAGUGUGCAAUGCUGAAGAUUUAAAUCCCUUCCCCCUCCUUUUGCUCUUCCCCUUGCCAAAAGAUAGACAAGUUACAUUAAAAGGUAGGCGAUAAUCUGGCUUUAGAUUUCUUAGCUAUGUAGCUACAUGCAAAGCUGUAAGAAAAUGGAGCAACUUGAGUUUUGAGGAGGUAGAGUUGUGAAUUGGGAUUUUCUCUGAUUCAUGUUUUUUAACAAGUUUGUAAAAGAUUAUGUUUAUAUGCCUUUCUUUUAAACUUAAAAAAAAAAGCUGCUACUUAAAGACAUACUUUAGAAGACCUUGGGAUGUGGAGACAGUUGUACUAGAAAUGAUUGUCCUUUAUGGAACUCUCUUCUAAGGAAAUAAUCAAAAUAUGUGCAAAUAUUUUUGUACAUUUUUGCCAUAUGUAUUGGAAAAUACCUUAUUGUUGAGUAAGUGUUCAUAUAAGUAAAUAUGCAACCAUUAAAAUAUACUAACAACUGAUGUAAGGAAAUGCUUUUUUUAAUAGUGAGGAAAAAAGCAAGAUACAGAUUUGUAUACUAAAUAAAAAUUUAUAUUAAGUGGCAGGAAAUAUGGAAAAUUUUGUCUCUUGAUUGUGGGAAUUCAUGAUGGCCUUAUUUUUCUGUUUGUAUAUUUUCCAAAAUUUCUGUAAAGAACACAUAAUUCAAACCUUAAAAAAUUAGAUCCGUGUGUAUAGGGGGACAGUUAGAAGAGAUUAAUCUGAUAAUGCCUGUGAAUCUAUUAAUUGAGACUUUUUCAUCUAAAAAUUCUAAUUAUAAACAUGGAAGAAAGAAUGUAACCUUUAAAAUAUUUUGGGAAGGUGCUCACUUUAGCACCACAUGUUACUAAAAUUGGAGCAACACAGAGAAGAUAAGCACGGCCCCCUGCACAGGGAUGACACACAAAUUUAUGAAGCUUCCAUGUUUUAAAAAAUAAUAAUAGAAUAUUUUGGGGAAAGAUAAAAAAACAUUGUCCCAAGUGAAAGAUGACUUACACGAGAGUUUAUGCCAUGAUAUCAUGCAUAUGAAAUUCUAGACUAGGCAAAACUGAUCAGUGGUGGGGAAAACACGUCAGAGCAAUGGUUAUUUCUAGGGACAAGGACAGGAAUUGAUUGGGAAGAAUAUGCACGGUCUUUCUUGGAUCAUGAUGAAUUUCUAUAUCUUGUUAAGGAUUUGAGUUAUGUAGGUGUGUACAUUGUCAAAACUCAAUAUAUAUUUAAGAUCUAUUCAUUUGUAUGUAAAUUUUACAUAACAAAAAUACCGCCAACAAAAAGGUGGGGAACAAAUAGUUUUGUGAAAAUGUACAAAGUCUACUCCUUGCUGGCUUUAUCCUCAUAUCCUAUGGUCUUAGAUAAGUAUUCCAGAGUAAUAAGAUAGUUAUAAAUUCAAUGUACUCUAGUUAGCACCUCGUGCUUGCUUCUCUUAAUACUUGCUACAUUGCACUGGACUUAUUUCAUACCUCGAAUGGACUGUGAACUCUUGGAGGGCAGGAAAUCCCUGCCUUCUGGCACAUAGCUGGCGUGUGCCCAAUAAAUAUUUAAUAGGUUAAUAAGUAAGUAUCCCUCGGCCCUUGUUCCCACCUCUUACCUGUAACAAAAAUGUUUCUCUAUUCUAUUCGUUACAAUUAUUAGUUCUGUAUCUUUUUUUUUAUAAUAUUAAUUGGUAAGUGGAAUUAACAAAAUAGCAAAGUUAAUCUUUUAACAUUUGUUAUUUCAAGUUGUUUGUUCAAGGGGCUUGCUUAAAAUUGUACCAAAAUGUUACAGUAGUGUGGCUUAAAUACCUGUCUUUGAAAACUAUGAUUGAGUUUGUGGUCAGGUUGUGGGUCUCCAGUUGCAAAGUGUUUUAGGAGGAAAUAUUAGACACUAUAAUUAAAUCAUUUUGUGACAUUUAUAGUAAAGUUACUACAGUAAAAAAAAAAAAAAA